This 792-nucleotide ribosomal RNA is filed under the name uncultured archaeon. RNAcentral's name for it is "bacterial SSU rRNA". It matches the Rfam family "Archaeal small subunit ribosomal RNA", at positions 85 to 879 of the family's 1478-position model. The record is from RNAcentral.
ACGGCUCAGUAACACGUGGAUAACCUACCCUCAGAUCUGGGAUAACUCCGGGAAACUGGAGAUAAUACCGGAUAAUCCGUGAACGCUGGAAUGCCUUACGGUUCAAAGCUUUAGCGUCUGAGGAUGGGUCUGCGGCCGAUUAGGUAGUUGCUGGGGUAACGUCCCAACAAGCCGAUAAUCGGUACGGGUUGUGAGAGCAAGAGCCCGGAGAUGGAUUCUGAGACACGAAUCCAGGUCCUACGGGGCGCAGCAGGCGCGAAAACUUUGCACUGCGCGAAAGCGCGAUAAGGGGACCUCGAGUGCGUGCGCAAUGCGUACGCUUUUCAAAUGCCUAAAAAGCAUCUGGAAUAAGGGCCGGGCAAGACCGGUGCCAGCCGCCGCGGUAACACCGGCGGCUCAAGUGGUGGCCGCUAUUAUUGGGCUUAAAGGGUCCGUAGCCGGACCAGUUAGUCCCUUGGGAAAUCUUACGGCUUAACCGUAAGGCUGCCAAUGGAUACUGCUGGUCUUGGGACCGGGAGAGGCAAGAGGUACCUCAGGGGUAGGAGUGAAAUCCUGUAAUCCUUGAGGGACCGCCAGUGGCGAAGGCGUCUUGCUAGAACGGGUCCGACGGUGAGGGACGAAAGCUAGGGGCACGAACCGGAUUAGAUACCCGGGUAGUCCUAGCCGUAAACGAUGCGAGCUAGGUGUCACGUGGAUUGCGAAUCCAUGUGGUGCCGUAGGGAAACCGUGAAGCUCGCCGCCUGGGAAGUACGGCCGCAAGGCUGAAACUUAAAGGAAUUGGCGGGGGAGCAC